CCUACGGGUGGCAGCAGUGAGGAAUAUUGGUCAAUGGACGAAAGUCUGAACCAGCCAAGUAGCGUGAAGGAUGACUGCCCUAUGGGUUGUAAACUUCUUUUAUAUGGGAAUAAAAUGUUCCACGUGUGGGAUUUUGUAUGUACCAUAUGAAUAAGGAUCGGCUAACUCCGUGCCAGCAGCCGCGGUAAUACGGAGGAUCCAAGCGUUAUCCGGAUUUAUUGGGUUUAAAGGGUGCGUAGGUGGAUUGUUAAGUCAGUUGUGAAAGUUUGCGGCUCAACCGCAAAAUUGCAGUUGAUACUGGCAGGCUUGAGUACAGUAGAGGUGGGCGGAAUUCGUGGUGUAGCGGUGAAAUGCUUAGAUAUCACGAAGAACUCCGAUUGCGAAGGCAGCUCACUGGACUGCAACUGACACUGAGGCUCGAAAGUGUGGGUAUCAAACAGGAUUAGAGACCCCUGUAGUC
This 460-nucleotide ribosomal RNA is filed under the name uncultured bacterium. RNAcentral's name for it is "partial 16S ribosomal RNA". It matches the Rfam family "Bacterial small subunit ribosomal RNA", at positions 338 to 795 of the family's 1533-position model. The record is from RNAcentral.